Molecule: ribosomal RNA, 931 nt
Filed under: uncultured bacterium
Lineage: Bacteria
Description: bacterial SSU rRNA
Rfam family: Bacterial small subunit ribosomal RNA
Source: RNAcentral
UGCAGUCGACGGCAGCACGGGGGCAACCCUGGUGGCGAGUGGCGAACGGGUGAGUAACAUAUCGGAACGUGCCCUGGAGUGGGGGAUAACUAGUCGAAAGAUUAGCUAAUACCGCAUACGAUCUACGGAUGAAAGUGGGGGAUCGCAAGACCUCAUGCUCGUGGAGCGGCCGAUAUCUGAUUAGCUAGUUGGUGGGGUAAAGGCCUACCAAGGCAUCGAUCAGUAGCUGGUCUGAGAGGACGACCAGCCACACUGGGACUGAGACACGGCCCAGACUCCUACGGGAGGCAGCAGUGGGGAAUUUUGGACAAUGGGCGCAAGCCUGAUCCAGCAAUGCCGCGUGAGUGAAGAAGGCCUUCGGGUUGUAAAGCUCUUUUGUCAGGGAAGAAACGGUUCGGGUUAAUACCUUGGGCUAAUGACGGUACCUGAAGAAUAAGCACCGGCUAACUACGUGCCAGCAGCCGCGGUAAUACGUAGGGUGCAAGCGUUAAUCGGAAUUACUGGGCGUAAAGCGUGCGCAGGCGGUUGUGCAAGACGGAUGUGAAAUCCCCGGGCUCAACCUGGGAAUUGCAUUUGUGACUGUACGGCUAGAGUGUGUCAGAGGGGGGUAGAAUUCCACGUGUAGCAGUGAAAUGCGUAGAGAUGUGGAGGAAUACCGAUGGCGAAGGCAGCCCCCUGGGAUAACACUGACGCUCAUGCACGAAAGCGUGGGGAGCAAACAGGAUUAGAUACCCUGNNAGUCCACGCCCUAAACGAUGUCUACUAGUUGUCGGGUCUUUAUUGACUUGGNAACGCAGCUAACGCGUGAAGUAGACCGCCUGGGGAGUACGGUCGCAAGAUUAAAACUCAAAGGAAUUGACGGGGACCCGCACAAGCGGUGGAUGAUGUGGAUUAAUUCGAUGCAACGCGAAAAACCUUACCUACCCUNGAC